UUAGGGGAGUGAUGAAAGUCCUUUCUUCUCUUUUCCUGCUGGACUUGAACCUGGAAGAAUGAGAGGGUACAACUGCAGCCACCUUGACUCAACAUGAAAGCUGGGAAUGAAGCUAACACCCAGAGAGAACACAGCCAAUACACCAAGAGGUGGAGGCCUGAGCACAUCACUUUAAGUCCCAAACCCAGAUCCCCCAGGACCCUCACUUAUUUCAACACAUUCCCAGGUGGGGUUGGGUCUUCUGAAACUUGCUAUAACAAGAAUCCUGACAAGACAUUUGCUUAAUAACUUGGCACAAGGUACCCAACAGCUUCACGCAGGGAAGCUCACUACAUCACAGAGUAUCUCAAAUGCAGGGAUUCUUUGGUCACUGACUAUCCCACAAAUCCUUGUUUACCUCUGAAUUAGAACUCUCUUAAAUAAUGUCUGAAGUGUCUAGUUUCACUUCCUCCUUUGCUCUCAGGAAAUCAGCGAAAUACCAUUUCUUGGAAUUUUGAGGAUUUCUGUCCUAGGAUGGUGGCUGCCAACUGGAGACAAUGACCUGGUUCCUGUAUAUUUCAGAUUCAUUGCUACAUGGGGGUGUUAAUAUGGAGAUAUUUGCUGCAAACAAAUAAAUUUGUGGAUUAUAUCCAUUUUCCAGACCACCUGAGAGUGAAGAAUUUGAAAGUGCUCUUACUCAAUAGCUAAAAGGAGAGGGGGUCCUGACCAUCACCUCUCCAAAAAGCUAGAAUACUGGUUUGAUUUAUGGUUUGCACUACAAAAUGCCAAUAAUGUAAAGUAAGAUAUAGGAAGAGGUGGUAAAAGCUUCAUGUAAGGUCAGAUUUUGGAACAAUUAAGCAGGGGAAGCCUUUUUUUUUUUUUUUUUUGGGAAGCCUUUUUAAACAUAAGUUACUGUUCAGAAACAUUUUUGCUGAUAGUAGACUAAAGCUGUCAGAACCUUCCGUGUCUCCUUUAGGGAAAGGAGGCACUUUUCAAUUCCAUUAUGUUCACUACAAGUCCUUCGUUGGAAAAUUAUGGUCAGUGUAGAGCAGAGAAAUGCCACCACUGUGUAGAUCAGGAUUUCUUAAGUUCAAUACUAUGGAGAUUUGGGGCCAGAUAACUCCUUGUUGUCGAUAGCUGUCCUGUCCAUUGUAGGAUGUUUACCAGCAUUCUCUACCCACCAGAUACCAGGAACACCCAUCCCCAACUAUCAGAACCAAAAAUGUGUCCAGACAUUGCCAAUGUCCCGUGAGGGGGAAAUUGCCCCCCAGUGGAGGACCAUGGGUGUACAGUUUCAGCCACUAAAACAAAACCUGUCACUGAAUUGAAACUGAACUGGUUACCCACAAGGCUUGGGCUACCAUCUGGUGCAGUUAUUAUGAAGAUUAAUGAAGAAGCUAUCUACUGUGGCUCACUUGGGAAAUUCCAAAAAGUAAAAUAUGGGCUGAUAAUCCUACAGUGGUUAAAUAAUCAGACUAUAAUAUAUUUAGAGUGUUUAUAAACUGUAAGCGAUUUCAGCUCAGUAAAGUUCCUUUUCUUUAAAUCAUUAUUUUACUGUAAACAACAACAACAAAACUAGUGUUUGUAUGAUUCCACUCAUCUAAGCUACCUAGAGUAGUCAAGUACAUAGAAAGGACAAGAGUGGUUGUCAGUUGGGGGAAAGGAGAAGUAGGAAGUUAUUGUUUAAUGGAUACAAGAGUUUCCAUUUUGCGAACUGGAAAGAGUUCUGGAGAUUAGUUACACAGCAAUUUGUGUUACUUAACACUACUGAACUGUACACUUAAAAAGGUUAGGAUGGUAAAUUUUAUAUUAUGUGUAUUUUACCACAAUAAAAAAAUAUAGUGUUCACCUCAUUUGUGGUUGAGAGAAAGUAAAACUUUUCCAUGAAUUUCAAUGCCCGUCUUAGUUUAUCCCAGACUGAAAAACCCCAAAAAGGGCUCUCUGAUUGGCCUGGCUUUGGAAAUGCCCAUGUGUAAACCAAUCAGAGGUGGACAGGAUGGGGGCAAUAUGAUUUUCUCAGGCUUCAGGAGAGAAGGAAAGAUCACAUACCCAUCCCUGACCCAAUUCACUCUAGCCAGGGAUGGGGAAUCUGUCAUGGCCAGUUUUCAUCCACACUAUACGGCUGGAAUGGGCAGAGAAGCAAGUUCUAGAAAAGAGUGGGAAAGGAGGUUCAGGGCAGACAAAAAAAAUAACUGAAUAUUCCAAUAUUCAAUCAUCAUAAUUAUGAUCUAGUGUUGUCUUUCCUAGUUCCCUCCUGUUAUCACUGUUACCAAACUGAAACUCAGCUGGUUACAUACCCAGAGCUUGGGAUACCAUCUGGUACAGUCAUCGUGAAGAUUAAUGAGGUGCAGGCUUUUGCAAACGGAAACACAUGACUUAUAAAAGCGUGUUGAAUAAGAGUCUGCAUUGCAUAGCCUGGGAAGAGACUGGAGUUGACUCCGGUUUAUUCAUUGCCUCAUCAAUGAAGGCAUUAGACAUUAGAAUGCCAGGUAAGAGCUGUACCACCAUGAACUUGGGAGUCAGUGAACCUGAAUUCAUAGCCCGGCUCCACCACUUUGGAGCGGGGGUCACUUCACCUCUCAGAGGCUCCAGGUUCUUAUAAAAAAUUAACCCAGGUGGCAACGUAGAGCAUCCCUACUACACAGGCUUUGGAAGAACACAGAUAUAGGCAGGUAAUUGGGGCAUAUCAUGAAGGCCUCAGCAGCAGUGAAGAUUGGAUGCUCACCCAGGCACUGCCCCCUGCAGGAGCUCACAGAAAUAGCCACCAAUUGACUGGCCUGAUGGACACUGACAUCCUUUGUGGUAGGAGGACUGCAACCCAGCUGAAGUUCUCAGGAGAGAAUGUGGUGGGCAUAGCUAAUCACCCCCACCCUUUUUGGGUAGGGUUUUUUCAGUUGAGCCCUUCAUAGGGUGCUCUCCUCUCUGGGUGGACUGGUCUGAGCCAGCUCCUCCUGCCUGGUUUGGACGUCUGUGGUCCAGGAGUAAGGUUUCAUGAUGUAGGAAGUGGGCACCUGUGGCUAUUCCCUCUGCAUGACUAGGGCACAGCUGUUUUUUAAGAGAGGAGGAUGGGCACCAUCUUAACCUAGUUCAAAGCCCACAUAUACACAUAGGCACUCAACCUGUGUUUGCUCUUAUCCUUAGAACAUCCAUGUACUGUGUUUCAGUGACUGUGUUGGGCACCAAGAAGUGAACAGGAUAGAAUAAAUACCUGACUACCUGAGCUCUCCAACCCAGUGAGGGAAGCACCCACAUCAGGAGUCAUGCUCUGUUUGGACCAAGGGUCAACCCAUCUAAUCACCUAUAUCCAGGGCUGGAGCGAAAAUGGGAUCUGAUUCUUCAGAACCUGCCCUUUUGAACAACAGAGGCUGAAGCCAGGGAAUCUUCCACCGAUGGGAUCAUGGUUCGAGUGAGCAGAGGAAGAGGAGACAGCAAGGAUGUGCAUGCGGAGAGGAAAGGCCAUUUGAGGACACAGCAAGAAGGUGGCCAUCUGCAAGCCAAGGAGAAGAACCUUGGGAGAAACCAACCCUGCUGACACCUUGUUCUUGCACUUUCAACCUUCAGAACUAUGAGAAAAUUAUCUCUUGGUUAAGACACCCAGUCUGCAGUAUGUUGUUAUGGUGGCCCUGUCAAACUAAUACAGGUCUUGGAAAACAUCUAAGAUUUACUGAGGAGUUUAGAAUUUAUUCUGUAACCAGUGGGGGGUGAUUUGGGUUGAAAGCUGGCAGUAACCGGAUCAGAGCUUUGGACAGGAGGAUCACUGCCAGAGAAGUACAAAGGAACUUUGGAGCAAGGAGAGGUAGAGACAGAGAAAAACCGGCCGGGAGGGAUUUUAAGAGUAUGGGUGGGAAAUGAUGAGAGUUCAAACAAAGGCAACUGGAGAGACAAAAGAAUGGUAAGAAGGUAGAAUCAGCAGUGUAUUGACCAGCUGGACAUGGGGAGCUGUGAAAGGAAGCAAUACAGAAUCCUGCCAGCUUCUUGAUUGGAUAGUGAUUGUAGUGCACAUUUAUGUUUCCCACCUAGCUUCCUCCAUCCCAAAAACACUCUAGAAUUGACCCCAAAUCUUCCCUAUUGUGCAGCCCUUGUGCUUUGGGGAAGCUCACCCUAUCCCAACAUUAAUGGCAGGCUUUUACUGACGUACACUAAUUAGCACAUGCCAUUGCUCUGGGUAGUUUUUGGUUCAGGAGUGAGCAUGUGAUCUAAACAUGCAAUGGAGGUGAGUGUCAGAACUCUCAACUGAAUGUUCUCCCCCACUGGACAAGAACAAGGAAGCUUAUAUACCUGACUUAACUGGCAAACAUCUUGUGAUCCCAGGGGAAUGAGCCAUAGACUAGAGCUGACCAUGUGCUGAGCAGAGCAAAGAUAGAUCCCCAAAGACACCUUCGGGCCGUUGGAUCAACUGACCAUGAAGUCCUGGACGCCCCAGUCAUGGAGUCUAGAAAUCCCCUGAUGUUUAAGCUGGUUUGAAUUGAAUUUCCCUAUUACUUGAAAGAUAGAUACAGAUAAUCAGGUGAAUGGUGGAGCCAUUAACUGGCAUAUGCAGGGAAAAGGAGGGGCUGGUUUGAAAGGAAAGAAAUUUCAUGAACUUUCACAAUCCCACCUCUUUGCUCAAAGUUGAUUCUUGGGUCUGGAACGACCCUCUCCUCACGUUUUUGGGCCUGCUAAAAAAGUCCUCCUCAUACCCAGAGGCCCCAUUCUUAUGCACCUUCCUUUGUAAAGCCUUUGUGAAUCCCUAUGAGGUCCAGGUCAGAGAUUAUCACUCUUUAGUAACUUCCAUAAUAUAUUGGACACAGUUCUAUUAUAGCUUUAAUCAUUUCAUGUUACUAUUUCCUCCACUGGGAACCAACCUCCUAAACAGUCCAGAACAUGUCAUAUUCAUCAUGUCCACACCAUAGCCCUGCAGCAUUUGAGCAUCUUGAAUAAAUGAUAGCUAUUCUUCCCCCAUAUUCUUCUCAUACUAAUGAAAUUCCUUGCCACUCCACCCACUUUGGACUGAGGUAAACUCUGGCUAUCAGAUCAUGGAUUAAAUUAUAUAAAGAUUACUCAAGGGGAUCCCUGGGUGGAGCAGUGGUUUGGCACCUGCCUUUGGCCCAGGGCGCGAUC
Long non-coding RNA from Canis lupus familiaris (dog), 5079 nucleotides. RefSeq lists it as uncharacterized. The transcript is spliced from 3 exons. The record is from RefSeq and is a predicted model, not a curated record. NCBI's taxonomy places the organism in Eukaryota, Metazoa, Chordata, Mammalia, Carnivora, Canidae.